CCUACGGGAGGCAGCAGUGAGGAAUAUUGCACAAUGGGGGAAACCCUGAUGCAGCGACGCCGCGUGAGUGAAGAAGUAUUUCGGUAUGUAAAGCUCUAUCAGCAGGGAAGAAGAAAGACGGUACCUGAUUAAGAAGCCCCGGCUACCUACGUCCCAGCAGCCGCGGUAAUACGUAGGGGGCAAGCGUUAUCCGGUUUUACUGGGUGGAAAGGGAGCGUAGACGGCUGUGCAAGUCUGAAGUGAAAGCCCAGGGCUCAACCAUGGGACUGCUUUGGAAACUGUGGAGCUAGAGUGCUGGAGAGGUAAGUGGAAUUCCUAGUGUAGCGGUGAAAUGCGUAGAUAUUAGGAGGAACACCAGUGGCGAAGGCGGCUUACUGGACAGUAACUGACGUUGAGGCUCGAAAGCGUGGGGAGCAAACAGGAUUAGAUACCCUGGUAGUC
This 441-nucleotide ribosomal RNA is filed under the name uncultured bacterium. RNAcentral describes it as "partial 16S ribosomal RNA". It matches the Rfam family "Bacterial small subunit ribosomal RNA", at positions 338 to 795 of the family's 1533-position model. The record is from RNAcentral.